This 253-nucleotide ribosomal RNA is filed under the name uncultured bacterium. RNAcentral describes it as "partial 16S ribosomal RNA". It matches the Rfam family "Bacterial small subunit ribosomal RNA", at positions 524 to 776 of the family's 1533-position model. The record is from RNAcentral.
GACGUAGGGGGCAAGCGUUGUUCGGAAUUAUUGGGCGUAAAGCGCUCGUAGGCGGGACUGGAAGUCCGUGUUGAAAGACCUCGGCUCAACUGAGGGACCGGCUCGGAUACUCUAGUUCUUGAGGCAAUCAGAGGGUGAUGGAAUUCCCGGUGUAGCGGUGAAAUGCGUAGAUAUCAUUUGGAACGCCAAUGGUGAAAACAGCUCGCUGGGGGUGCACUGACACUGAGACACGAAAGCCAGGGGAGCGAACGGG